CGGCUGAGAGGCUGACCGGCCACACUGGGACUGAGACUACGGGCCCAGACUCUCUACGGGAGGCAGCAGUGGGGAAUAUUGCACAAUGGGCGAAAGCCUGAUGCAGCGACGCCGCGUGAGGGAUGACGGCCUUCGGGUUGUAAACCUCUUUCAGCAGGGAAGAAGCGAAAGUGACGGUACCUGCAGAAGAAGCGCCGGCUAACUACGUGCCAGCAGCCGCGGUAAUACGUAGGGCGCAAGCGUUGUCCGGAAUUAUUGGGCGUAAAGAGGUCGUAGGCGGGUUGACACGUCGGUAGUGAAAGCCCGGGGGUUAACCCCGGGUCUGCAUUCGAUACGGGCAGGCUAGAGUUCAGGAGGGGAGAUCGGAAUUCCUGGUGUAGCGGUGAAAUGCGCAGAUAUCAGGAGGAACACCGGUGGCGAAGGCGGAUCUCUGGGCCGAUACUGACGCUGAGGAGCGAAAGCGUGGGGAGCGAACAGGAUUAGAUACCCUGGUAGUCCACGCCGUAAACGGUGGGCACUAGGUGUGGGCAACAUUCCACGUUGUCCGUGCCGCAGCUAACGCAUUAAGUGCCCCGCCUGGGGGAGUACGG
This 590-nucleotide ribosomal RNA is filed under the name Streptomyces pactum. Its description in RNAcentral is "bacterial SSU rRNA". It matches the Rfam family "Bacterial small subunit ribosomal RNA", at positions 288 to 885 of the family's 1533-position model. The record is from RNAcentral. Lineage: Bacteria; Bacillati; Actinomycetota; Actinomycetes; Kitasatosporales; Streptomycetaceae.